CAAAGACAAAUUGAUAUGAUAUCUCAACGUAAGGAGUUAAAAGACCACAGGUGGCCAAACCUCCAAGUUGCUUCUUGGCCGCUCAGAGAAAUAGACAUGGGAUAUGCAAAGCAGACAGAUAGCUCUUCAUGUGGUCUCUUUCUUUUGAACUAUAUCGAAUACUGGACAGGGGAUGAACUGUCUAACAGUUUUACCCAGGAUGACAUGUCACACUUUAGAAAGAAAAUGGCUGCUAUAUUACUAUCUUCAGAACUGAAUAAGAGAAGGGGGUGUCUGUUAUACAAAAAUGAUAAAGAAGUUGACUCUGGAAGCCCAUCGGAUGUUGAGAUAUUAGAAAACCCAACAGAUUCUAAGAAGAGGAAGCUACUCCACGUGCUUGAUGAUAACGAAGUAGUGUAUGAAGAUGAGGAAGGCCCUAUUACUCAAGCAGACUUGCAAAAGUGGUUUGUUGAUGAUUGGGAUAAAAGAACUCCUGUAAAAGUAUCUAACGAUGGGUGCACCAAUGACUUUUUAAUGGUUGGUCUUUCCACAAAGGACAUGCCAGUGACCAAAGCCGAUUCAAUAGAUGUUUUAUGUGAUUAUAUCAUGGCAAUAGAAGACGAUACGACACUAGAGAUGACAUGGGUGCGAAGUUUCAAUCCUUUUAAGAUAGAAAUAUCUGUUAAAGACCUACAAAAUAUAUUAACGAUAAAUAAAGAUAUGACUCUAAGAUGUUUUGACAUGGCUGUUCGGCUGCUUGCCAAUAAAGAGUCAUGUAGGCCGAAAGGAGAAAUCAUAAAUAAUAGAAAGC
RNAcentral lists this unclassified non-coding RNA (790 nucleotides) under Zea mays. RNAcentral describes it as "misc RNA Zm00001eb241490". Lineage: Eukaryota; Viridiplantae; Streptophyta; Magnoliopsida; Poales; Poaceae. The record is from RNAcentral.